GCCCGCUUGGCCAAGUGGUAAGGCGUCGCACUCGUACAGCUAUAAAAUGCGAAGAUCUCCAGUUCGAUCCUGGAAGUGGGCU
Ophiobolus disseminans is the source of this 82-nucleotide non-coding RNA. Lineage: Eukaryota; Fungi; Ascomycota; Dothideomycetes; Pleosporales; Phaeosphaeriaceae. The record is from the annotation of a GenBank genome assembly.